Molecule: long non-coding RNA, 269 nt
Organism: Ahaetulla prasina
Lineage: Eukaryota; Metazoa; Chordata; Lepidosauria; Squamata; Colubridae
Exons: 3
Source: RefSeq, a predicted model, not a curated record
CAUACAGUUUUCCUAGUUUCUCAUCCAAAUGGCAUGAAGACUAUAUCACACUGUGACUAUAUCACAAUGAAUAUAUAUAGAUCACUAGUCAAACACUUCCCAAGCGUUUAGGACUGCGUGAUGUAUCGGCGAAUUAUGCGAGCAGAUCCCAGCAAAAGAAAAAAGGUACUGCAAAUGCACAUUCUAGCAUCUUUGGCAGGACUUACCCUUCUUGUGACUAUUGGAUCGAUUUCAUUGGGAUCUCGGUGUGCAAGCAUCAUCAAAUCCGC